RNAcentral lists this ribosomal RNA (432 nucleotides) under uncultured bacterium. Its description in RNAcentral is "partial 16S ribosomal RNA". It matches the Rfam family "Bacterial small subunit ribosomal RNA", at positions 29 to 507 of the family's 1533-position model. The record is from RNAcentral.
ACGAACGCUGGCGGCAUGCCUAACACAUGCAAGUCGAACGAGACCUUCGGGUCUAGUGGCGCACGGGUGCGUAACGCGUGGGAACCUGCCCUUAGGUUCGGAAUAACUCCCCGAAAGGGGUGCUAAUACCGGAUAAUGUCUUCGGACCAAAGAUUUAUCGCCUUUGGAUGGGCCCGCGUUGGAUUAGCUAGUUGGUAGGGUAAAAGCCUACCAAGGCGACGAUCCAUAGCUGGUCUGAGAGGAUGAUCAGCCACACUGGGACUGAGACACGGCCCAGACUCCUACGGGAGGCAGCAGUGGGGAAUAUUGGACAAUGGGCGAAAGCCUGAUCCAGCAAUGCCGCGUGAGUGAUGAAGGCCUUAGGGUUGAAAAGCUCUUUUACCCGGGAUGAUAAUGACAGUACCGGGAGAAUAAGCUCCGGCUAACUCCGUG